Molecule: RNA transcript, 1956 nt
Organism: Triticum dicoccoides
Lineage: Eukaryota; Viridiplantae; Streptophyta; Magnoliopsida; Poales; Poaceae
Exons: 6
Source: RefSeq, a predicted model, not a curated record
UCCGCUCCGCGUGCUCGCACCGUACCUAAUCCCAUCCUCUCCCCUGGUCGUCCCGAUCCACACCAGCCGCCGCACAACCCUAGCCCCUUUCCCCUCGAUCCCCAUAGCCCCUCUCUCCUCCUCGCUCUCCGCCAUGGCCUCUGCACUAGGAGCCUCUCCAUGGCCUCCUACCCAUCCCCCCCACCACCAUAGGUGCACACAGACGGUGGAUCCGUGCCGGAGAAGAGCAGCUCCAGUUAUGGUGGGGUGCAUCUGUGCCGAAGAUGAAGGAGGCCCGCCGCCCGUCUUUGCCUCGUCGCUGCGUCCUUGUUGCUGCUCCUCCUCUCUCUCUCCGCACCUAGCAGUGCAGCAGCCGGGACAAGGGGAAGGAGCAGCCCGACCCGGCUCCAUCUCUCUCCUUCAUGCAGGAGAACUGGAUGAGCAGGUGGCGAGGGAAGCCGCCACGGCUAGCGGCGGCGCUGCACAGGAACGUCCACCUCCAGGGACCAGAUCUUGGCUAUGAUCUAUGCUGCUGAUUUGGCUAUCAACUGCUAAAUCUCCGAAUCAUUCAAAAUGUUUUGCCUAACUGCACGAGCCUUGCAUAUGACCACUGGGCCAUGUCUUUUGAUUUUACUACUGCUAUGGACAAAAGAAGUCUAAAGCUGGGAAAGACAACAACGUCAGGAGCCAACCGAGGGGAGACUCCAGGCAGAGAGAGGAAAGCUGCGCAAGUGCCCCUGGAAGCGAGGCAGCUCGGCGCCGUCGCGGAAGAGGAGCUACGCUUCCAUGGAGUAGAGCGACGAGGGGCUCCGACGUCGCUGUAGAGGAGGGAGGAGAUCCGCCGCCACUGCACCUCACAAUUCGACAGGAACCUCUCUGGAUGAUUCUGUCAAUUCGGGUGUUAUGCAUUUUUGAAAGUGUUGUGCAAUGGCAGAAAUUGGCAAGAGGACACCUCAAGUUGGUAUGAGGUUCAUAGAUUCGGAUGAGGCUUGGGUGUUUUGGGUAGAAUAUGGUGAGGAAAAGAUGCAAGUUUGAUGGAAAAGCGACUUCACACAGAUUUGUGUGUUCCAAUGAGGGCAUUAGAAGGAAAGCACAAACUGAUCGUGAGCCAAAGCGCAAACCCUGUAUAUGUACUGAUUUUAUUUUAGCCUAUCUCUGCUCAUGUGUGCAUCUAGUUCACUCUUUGGAUUAAACUAUAGCCAAGUGUACAACUAUACUUGCCUAAUAUAUCCAGUGUUCAGUGUCAAAAUUGUCCAGUUUGAAAAGGUUCCAUUACUUUACUAGCAUUGUUUCUUCUGUAUUCACUAAUCCUGCAAGUGUAGGCUGAGAACUAUACAAUUUGGACAGGUUCCAGUGUUGUGUUGUUGCCGUACAUAAUAUGCAAUUUGGACAGUUUCUUGUGUUUUUAUUAAGCCAAAUGUGGGCUGUGAAAUAUGUAAUUGGGAAUAUCUUGAUGCUUUGCUGCUGUUGUCAUUAUGUACUAGCAUUAGCAUUUGUGAAAAUGGGCAAUCUGAAGAGGUUUUGAGUGCCAUGUCGGCCCUGUUUCUAUGCUUGUGUAGUUGUGCUUUUGCCAAGUCUGCAGGUGUGGGCUGUUUUGCUUUGGGCAAAUCUCAUGCGUUGGAUCUGCAUUGGACGGCAGAUGAGAGGGGGCCAGUUACAAUGUGACUUGCUAGAGGCAAGUCACUGGAUCUCAGUCCGCUAGGCGAUGUGUGGUAGAAGUUGUACUCACAGGAAGACUAUUGUGCUGUGUAUAAACCACGUUCUACGAUUUACUUCUGCUAUGCAUAUUUACUUUCCAGUUUUAGGACUGAAAUCCAUCCAUUGUGAUGAAUUUGGUUGUAUGGGCAUUACCUAUUUGACUUAGGCUUGCUUCAUCACAUAUAAACUGCUUUUCUUUUCCCCACUGCUUGUAUGACCUAAAACUAUCAUGUAUAUGAGCCAAGUUAUUAGCAAUGUUUCACAUUUUCUUACUUGCAA